This 348-nucleotide unclassified non-coding RNA is filed under the name soil metagenome. RNAcentral's name for it is "partial contains 5.8S ribosomal RNA, internal transcribed spacer 2, and large subunit ribosomal RNA". The stretch from base 1 to 120 matches the Rfam family "5.8S ribosomal RNA", at positions 35 to 154 of the family's 154-position model. The record is from RNAcentral.
GAUGAAGAACGUAGCGAAAUGCGAUAAGUAAUGUGAAUUGCAGAAUUCAGUGAAUCAUCGAAUCUUUGAACGCACAUUGCGCCCGCCAGUAUUCUGGCGGGCAUGCCUGUCUGAGCGUCAUUUCAACCCUCAUGCCCCUAGGGCGUGGUGUUGGGGAUCGGCCAAAGCCCGCGAGGGACGGCCGGCCCCUAAACCUAGUGGCGGACCCGUCGUGGCCUCCUCUGCGAAGUAGUGAUAUUCCGCAUCGGAGAGCGAUGAGCCCCUGCCGUUAAACCCCCAACUUUCCAAGGUUGACCUCAGAUCAGGUAGGAAUACCCGCUGAACUUAAGCAUAUCAAUAAGCGGAGGA